Molecule: long non-coding RNA, 1615 nt
Filed under: Capsicum annuum
Lineage: Eukaryota; Viridiplantae; Streptophyta; Magnoliopsida; Solanales; Solanaceae
Description: long non-coding RNA (CANN_LNC001050)
Source: RNAcentral
GAAAACUUAACCGAACUAAUUCGGUUCGAUUUGGUUUAUAUAAGUUUGGUUCGGUUUAAUAACUUUGGUUUUUUAGUUUUGGGCCUCUUUAAUGGGCUAAUUUCUAAUUGGGCCUGCUAACUCUGAGAUUCAGUAUCUCAGUCAAUUUGUGUUUCCUGUAUCUAAUAUGUUCUGUCAAAUUUCAGGAAGAAACACGCAUCGUGGAUUUAUAUUUUCUCAUGUUUGUAUGUUAUUUUCUUCUUCUUUACAACAAUGAAAAAAAAUACUAUAAAAACAUUGACAGAUAUUGUGGAGCCUUUUGGCAACAGAAAAGAGAAAAUUUUAUGGAUUUUGAAUAAAAUUUUUGUAUGCUUUCACAUAACUAAAACUAAAAUGGCAUUACAUAUGUACACACUACACAACAUAUUCAUUUCCAACACACUACUGCAUCUUUAAUACUACUACGGUACUACCUUCCCAGUGAAUGAGUCAUUUGGAACAUCUGAAUGAUUUAUAGCUUCACAGAACAGCUACUUAGCUAGUUUGAAUGAGGUUGAGAAAACAGAAGGCCAGCUGAAGAGAGUAAUAAUUAAUAACCAGUUGCUAGACCCACUUUUCAUCUAGACUCUAGAGGGACUUUACUUGAUGCACUCCCUUUAUACAAAACUGAGAACAAUUUUCUUUUAGGAACUGGUUCAUGUACAUUAUGCAAGCACAUUUCCAGAAUUAACUGGAAUGAAGAAGAAGAAUAAGAAUGCAGAGAAAAAGAAGAGCUUAGAUUGAUCUCAUUGAUUGAAUCUUGAUCUUGUGUUGUAUAAUGUGUAGUUAGUAUUAGGGGUAGGUGUUAGGGAAUUCGGUUCUAUUUUAGAUUUUUUCUUUUUAGUUUUUUCGGUUUUUGGUUCUCAAUUUAGGUGUACUGAAAACUUAACCGAACUAAUUCGGUUCGAUUUGGUUUAUAUAAGUUUGGUUCGGUUUAAUAACUUUGGUUUUUUAGUUUUGGGCCUCUUUAAUGGGCUAAUUUCUAAUUGGGCCUGCUAACUCUGAGAUUCAGUAUCUCAGUCAAUUUGUGUUUCCUGUAUCUAAUAUGUUCUGUCAAAUUUCAGGAAGAAACACGCAUCGUGGAUUUAUAUUUUCUCAUGUUUGUAUGUUAUUUUCUUCUUCUUUACAACAAUGAAAAAAAAUACUAUAAAAACAUUGACAGAUAUUGUGGAGCCUUUUGGCAACAGAAAAGAGAAAAUUUUAUGGAUUUUGAAUAAAAUUUUUGUAUGCUUUCACAUAACUAAAACUAAAAUGGCAUUACAUAUGUACACACUACACAACAUAUUCAUUUCCAACACACUACUGCAUCUUUAAUACUACUACGGUACUACCUUCCCAGUGAAUGAGUCAUUUGGAACAUCUGAAUGAUUUAUAGCUUCACAGAACAGCUACUUAGCUAGUUUGAAUGAGGUUGAGAAAACAGAAGGCCAGCUGAAGAGAGUAAUAAUUAAUAACCAGUUGCUAGACCCACUUUUCAUCUAGACUCUAGAGGGACUUUACUUGAUGCACUCCCUUUAUACAAAACUGAGAACAAUUUUCUUUUAGGAACUGGUUCAUGUACAUUAUGCAAGCACAUUUCCAGAAUUAGUGUUGGCUC